This 2921-nucleotide ribosomal RNA is filed under the name Streptococcus pneumoniae. RNAcentral's name for it is "bacterial LSU rRNA". It matches the Rfam family "Bacterial large subunit ribosomal RNA". Lineage: Bacteria; Bacillati; Bacillota; Bacilli; Lactobacillales; Streptococcaceae. The record is from RNAcentral.
UUAAGUUAGAAAGGGCGCACGGUGGAUGCCUUGACACUAGGAGUCGAUGAAGGACGGGACUAACGCCGAUAUGCUUCGGGGAGCUGUAAGUAAGCUUUGAUCCGAAGAUUUCCGAAUGGGGAAACCCACCAUACGUAAUGGUAUGGUAUCCUUAUCUGAAUACAUAGGGUAAGGAAGACAGACCCAGGGAACUGAAACAUCUAAGUACCUGGAGGAAGAGAAAGCAAAUGCGAUUUCCUGAGUAGCGGCGAGCGAAACGGAACAUAGCCCAAACCAAGAGGCUUGCCUCUUGGGGUUGUAGGACAUUCUAUACGGAGUUACAAAGGAACGAGGUAGACGAAGCGACCUGGAAAGGUCCGUCGUAGAGGGUAACAACCCCGUAGUCGAAACUUCGUUCUCUCUUGAAUGUAUCCUGAGUACGGCGGAACACGUGAAAUUCCGUCGGAAUCUGGGAGGACCAUCUCCCAAGGCUAAAUACUCCCUAGUGAUCGAUAGUGAACCAGUACCGUGAGGGAAAGGUGAAAAGCACCCCGGAAGGGGAGUGAAAGAGAUCCUGAAACCGUGUGCCUACAAAUAGUCAGAGCCCGUUAACGGGUGAUGGCGUGCCUUUUGUAGAAUGAACCGGCGAGUUACGAUCCCGUGCGAGGUUAAGCUGAAGAGGCGGAGCCGCAGCGAAAGCGAGUCUGAAUAGGGCGUUUAGUACGUGGUCGUAGACCCGAAACCAGGUGAUCUACCCAUGUCCAGGGUGAAGUUCAGGUAACACUGAAUGGAGGCCCGAACCCACGCACGUUGAAAAGUGCGGGGAUGAGGUGUGGGUAGCGGAGAAAUUCCAAUCGAACCUGGAGAUAGCUGGUUCUCCCCGAAAUAGCUUUAGGGCUAGCCUUAAGUGUAAGAGUCUUGGAGGUAGAGCACUGAUUGGACUAGGGGUCCUCAUCGGAUUACCGAAUUCAGUCAAACUCCGAAUGCCAAUGACUUAUCCUUAGGAGUCAGACUGCGAGUGAUAAGAUCCGUAGUCAAAAGGGAAACAGCCCAGACCGCCAGCUAAGGUCCCAAAGUGUGUAUUAAGUGGAAAAGGAUGUGGAGUUGCUUAGACAACUAGGAUGUUGGCUUAGAAGCAGCCACCAUUUAAAGAGUGCGUAAUAGCUCACUAGUCGAGUGACUCUGCGCCGAAAAUGUACCGGGGCUAAAUACACCACCGAAGCUGCGGAUUGAUACCGAAUGGUAUCAGUGGUAGGGGAGCGUUCUAAGGACAGUGAAGUCAGACCGUAAGGACUGGUGGAGUGCUUAGAAGUGAGAAUGCCGGUAUGAGUAGCGAAAGACGGGUGAGAAUCCCGUCCACCGAAUGCCUAAGGUUUCCUGAGGAAGGCUCGUCCGCUCAGGGUUAGUCAGGACCUAAGCCGAGGCCGACAGGCGUAGGCGAUGGACAACAGGUUGAUAUUCCUGUACCACCUCUUUAUCGUUUGAGCAAUGGAGGGACGCAGAAGGAUAGAAGAAGCGUGCGAUUGGUUGUGCACGUCCAAGCAGUUAGGCUGAUAAGUAGGCAAAUCCGCUUAUCAUAAAGGCUGAGCUGUGAUGGGGAAGCUCCUUAUGGAGCGAAGUCUUUGAUUCCCCGCUGCCAAGAAAAGCUUCUAGCGAGAUAAAAGGUGCCUGUACCGCAAACCGACACAGGUAGGCGAGGAGAGAAUCCUAAGGUGUGCGAGAGAACUCUGGUUAAGGAACUCGGCAAAAUGACCCCGUAACUUCGGGAGAAGGGGUGCUUUCUUAACGGAAAGCCGCAGUGAAUAGGCCCAAGCGACUGUUUAGCAAAAACACAGCUCUCUGCGAAGCCGUAAGGCGAAGUAUAGGGGGUGACACCUGCCCGGUGCUGGAAGGUUAAGGAGAGGGGUUAGCGUAAGCGAAGCUCUGAACUGAAGCCCCAGUAAACGGCGGCCGUAACUAUAACGGUCCUAAGGUAGCGAAAUUCCUUGUCGGGUAAGUUCCGACCCGCACGAAAGGUGUAACGAUUUGGGCACUGUCUCAACCAGAGACUCGGUGAAAUUAUAGUACCUGUGAAGAUGCAGGUUACCCGCGACAGGACGGAAAGACCCCGUGGAGCUUUACUGUAGCCUGAUAUUGAAUUUUGGUACAGUUUGUACAGGAUAGGCGGGAGCCAUUGAAACCGGAGCGCUAGCUUCGGUGGAGGCGCUGGUGGGAUACCGCCCUGACUGUAUUGAAAUUCUAACCUACGGGUCUUAUCGACCCGGGAGACAGUGUCAGGUGGGCAGUUUGACUGGGGCGGUCGCCUCCUAAAGUGUAACGGAGGCGCCCAAAGGUUCCCUCAGAAUGGUUGGAAAUCAUUCGUAGAGUGCAAAGGCAUAAGGGAGCUUGACUGCGAGACCUACAAGUCGAGCAGGGACGAAAGUCGGGCUUAGUGAUCCGGUGGUUCCGCAUGGAAGGGCCAUCGCUCAACGGAUAAAAGCUACCCCGGGGAUAACAGGCUUAUCUCCCCCAAGAGUCCACAUCGACGGGGAGGUUUGGCACCUCGAUGUCGGCUCAUCGCAUCCUGGGGCUGUAGUCGGUCCCAAGGGUUGGGCUGUUCGCCCAUUAAAGCGGCACGCGAGCUGGGUUCAGAACGUCGUGAGACAGUUCGGUCCCUAUCCGUCGUGGGCGUAGGAAAUUUGAGAGGAGCUGUCCUUAGUACGAGAGGACCGGGAUGGACGCACCGCUGGUGUACCAGUUGUUCUGCCAAGGGCAUAGCUGGGUAGCUAUGUGCGGAAGGGAUAAGUGCUGAAAGCAUCUAAGCAUGAAGCCCCCCUCAAGAUGAGAUUUCCCAUAGCGUAAGCUAGUAAGAUCCCUGAAAGAUGAUCAGGUUGAUAGGUUCGAGGUGGAAGCAUGGUGACAUGUGGAGCUGACGAAUACUAAUAGAUCGAGGACUUAACCAU